This 292-nucleotide ribosomal RNA is filed under the name uncultured bacterium. RNAcentral describes it as "partial 16S ribosomal RNA". It matches the Rfam family "Bacterial small subunit ribosomal RNA", at positions 505 to 796 of the family's 1533-position model. The record is from RNAcentral.
GUGCCAGCCGCCGCGGUAAUACGUAGGGUGCGAGCGUUAAUCGGAAUUACUGGGCGUAAAGCGUGCGCAGGCGGUUCGUUAAGUUCGUCGUGAAAGCCCCGGGCUCAACCUGGGAACUGCGAUGGAAACUGGCGGGCUCGAGUGUGGCAGAGGGGGGUGGAAUUCCACGUGUAGCAGUGAAAUGCGUAGAGAUGUGGAGGAACACCGAUGGCGAAGGCAACCCCCUGGGCUAACACUGACGCUCAGGCACGAAAGCGUGGGGAGCAAACAGGAUUAGAAACCCGUGUAGUCC